GAUGAACGCUGGCGGCGUGCCUAAUACAUGCAAGUCGAGCGAACAGACGAGGAGCUUGCUCCUCUGACGUUAGCGGCGGACGGGUGAGUAACACGUGGAUAACCUACCUAUAAGACUGGGAUAACUUCGGGAAACCGGAGCUAAUACCGGAUAAUAUAUUGAACCGCAUGGUUCAAUAGUGAAAGACGGUUUUGCUGUCACUUAUAGAUGGAUCCGCGCCGCAUUAGCUAGUUGGUAAGGUAACGGCUUACCAAGGCAACGAUGCGUAGCCGACCAGAGAGGGGGAUACGGCCCCCAUGAACAGGGAACCGGGCCAAGCCCCCAAGGGGGGCAGAAGUGGGGGAAGCUGCCACAUGGGGAGAAACCUGCACGGGAAAACGCCGGGGGGGUGAGAAGGGUUUUGGGAUCUUAAAACUCUGUUUUAGGGAAAAAAAAAAUUUGAAAAAAACUUGGCCCGUCUGGCGGGAACCAAAGCAAAAACCAAGGGGUAACUAGUU
This 497-nucleotide ribosomal RNA is filed under the name uncultured bacterium. RNAcentral describes it as "partial 16S ribosomal RNA". It matches the Rfam family "Bacterial small subunit ribosomal RNA", at positions 28 to 506 of the family's 1533-position model. The record is from RNAcentral.